CCUACGUGUGGCAGCAGUGGGGAAUAUUGGACAAUGGGGGGAACCCUGAUCCAGCGAUGCCGCGUGAGUGAAGAAGUAUUUCGGUAUGUAAAGCUCUAUCAGCAGGGAAGAAAGAAAUGACGGUACCUGACUAAGAAGCCCCGGCUAACUACGUGCCAGCAGCCGCGCUAAUACGUAGGGGGCAAGCGUUAUACGGAUAUACUGGGUGUAAAGGGAGCGUAGACGGCGAUGCAAGUCUGAAGUGAAAGGCGGGGGCGCAACCCCCGGACUGCUUUGGAAACUGUAUGGCUGGAGUGCAGGUGAGGUAAGUGGAAUGCCUAGUGUAGCGGUGAAAUGCGUAGAUAUUAGGAGGAACACCAGUGGCGAAGGCGGCUUACUGGACUGUAACUGACGUUGAGGCUCGAAAGCGUGGGGAGCAAACAGGAUUAGAUACCCGAGUAGUC
This 443-nucleotide ribosomal RNA is filed under the name uncultured bacterium. Its description in RNAcentral is "partial 16S ribosomal RNA". It matches the Rfam family "Bacterial small subunit ribosomal RNA", at positions 338 to 795 of the family's 1533-position model. The record is from RNAcentral.